CUAUCAAACAGAGCAAGGUCAAGGUCCACAAUACUUGGAGGAGAGUUGCAGGCUACCCCUGCAUUGUUGUACAUUAUGUCCAGUUGGUUGAAUUUAGAAAUGGCAAGAUCUACAGCAUUGGAUAUAUCAGAUUCUUUAGUUACAUCACAGGCAAUGAAUGCAGCGUUGGAUCCGAGUUCUUUUGCAGUGUCUUGGCCAAGUUGGCGUUGCAUAUCAGCAAUAACAACUUUGGCACCAUUGUUAACGAAUUUGGUUGCGGUUGCCUUCCCAAUACCACUUGCUGCUCCAGUGAUCAGUGCUACCUUCCCCUCUAAUUUCCUUCCAUGCUGGGUAGAAAAUCUCUUGGUGAAGAUCUCAGCAAGUGAAGUUCUUGAAAUGGAAACACCUUUACUAAAUCCAAAUUUGAACAUAC
This 412-nucleotide unclassified non-coding RNA is filed under the name Hevea brasiliensis (rubber tree). Lineage: Eukaryota; Viridiplantae; Streptophyta; Magnoliopsida; Malpighiales; Euphorbiaceae. The record is from RNAcentral.